Molecule: ribosomal RNA, 1347 nt
Filed under: Marmota monax (woodchuck)
Lineage: Eukaryota; Metazoa; Chordata; Mammalia; Rodentia; Sciuridae
Description: LSU_rRNA_bacteria
Rfam family: Bacterial large subunit ribosomal RNA
Source: RNAcentral
UACCAGGAGCUAUAGGGAAAGCACCAUAAGGGAAAGAUGCUUUUUUACAUUAUAAAAUUUUUUUUCAAAGACUAAAACUUUUACCUUUUGCAUAAUGAUUUAACCAGAAAACCCUUGACAAGAAGAAUUUAAGCCAAGCACCCCGAAACCAGAUGAGCUACUUAUGAGCAGCUAAUAAGAGCUCAUCUGUCUAUGUUGCAAAACAGGGGAAUGACUUAUAAGUAGAGGUGAAAAGCCUAGGCAGCCUGGUGAUAGUUGGUUGUCCAGAUUAGAAUUUUAGAUCUACUUUAAAUUUACCUGAAGCACAAGCAAGCCAAAUGUAAUUUUAAAUGUUAAUCUAAACAGGGACAGCUCUUUAGAAUCAAGGAAAAACCUUAGAGAGUAAAUUUGCUAAUUUCCAUAGUUGGCCUAAAAGCAGUCUUCAAUUGAAAAAGCAUUCAAACUUAACCUAAUCAUCAAAACUUAAUACCUAACUCUCAAUAACCUCCUAAACCAACACUGGACUAAUCUAUUUUUCUUAUAGAAGAAAUUAUGUUAAAAUGAGUAACAAGAAGAUAGUUCUCCCUGCAUAAGUUUAUAUCAGACCGAAUAAUUUACUGAUGUAAUUAACAAAUUCAUAAUAUUAAAUAAAUCAUAAAACCAUUAUUAAUAACAUUGUUAAACCAACACUGGUAUGCACUUAAGGGAAAGAUUUAAAAAAGUAAAAGGAACUCGGCAAACAUUAACCCCGCCUGUUUACCAAAAACAUCACCUCUAGCAUAAUCAGUAUUAGAGGAACUGCCUGCCAAGUGACACAUGUUUAACCCAUACAAAGGUAGCAUAAUCACUUGUUCUUUAAAUAGGGACUAGUAUGAAUGGCUUGACAAGGGUUUAACUGUCUCUUACUUUUAAUCAGUGAAAUUGACCUUCCCAUGAAGAGGCAGGAAUAUUCUAAUAAGAUGAGAAGACCCUAUGGAGCUUAAAUUUAAUGGUCUAACAGCCUUAACUUCACCUACGGGGUCAAAAUUAUUGUUAACAGACUAAAAUUUUUGGUUGGGGUGACCUCGGAGUACAAAUAAGCCUCUGAAUGAUAAUCAUCUAGACAUAACAUGUCCAAAUUACGACUCAUCAGUUGACCCAAACUAUUGAUCAAUAGAACAAGUUACCCUAGGGAUAACAGUGCAAUCCUACUCAAGAGUUCAUAUCGACAGUUUAGGGUUUACGACCUUGAUGUUGGAUCAGGACAUCCAAAUAGUGUAACCGCUAUUAAUGGUUCCUUUGUUCAAUGAUUAAAAUCCUAUGUGAUCUGAGUUCAGACCCGAGAAAUCCAGGUCGGUUUCUAUCUAUUACUGUAUUUCUCCCAGUACG